This 367-nucleotide long non-coding RNA is filed under the name Elaeis guineensis (African oil palm). RNAcentral's name for it is "long non-coding RNA (EGUI_LNC064959)". The record is from RNAcentral. Lineage: Eukaryota; Viridiplantae; Streptophyta; Magnoliopsida; Arecales; Arecaceae.
UGUCCCAGAGGUUCGAAACCUCUAAUUUUAUAUUUUUCUUUUGUGGUGACUUUUCUUCAUUCUCUUAUACUUAAAAAUUAUUUAAUCAAUAAAAUCGAAUUCUUCUUUACAGAGAGCCUCCUUUUCUUCUUCUGCAUUCUUUUAUUUUCUUGCAUUGAUUUGUGUUGUGACACUCUUGUUUCCCAACAAUAGUGCCCUAUCGAAGCUCUUCCCCUGCCGCAGGGGAUCCUUUUGAAGUCCAUGAUCUGGGAUCUCAAAAGAAAAGUUCGUCACUUGAUGAAGAAAUCAAAGAAGCUGGAUGACGAACUUCACUAGCUGAGGAAGAGCCAUUCGGAAGUCACUGCGGAGACUAUUCACUUUCAGGACC